UUUUGAGGUCUUGUAGUAUGGAAUCCUAUUAUUCUUCAUCUGUAGAACUUCAUCCGCAACCUAGACACCAAAUUAGGGGAUGAAUUUGUGUUUCUGAAAAAGAAGAUAUUUGCUAUUAAACAUCCUCCACGGAACUUCACACAGAAAGUUAGCUCCGCUAGAAAAAACUGAUUUUCCUACUGAUUUUUGAAUAUCUGCAAGUUCAACUUCCUUGACAGAAACAUCAGGAACUGUUCUUCCUUGUAAAGUUGUAAGUCUUGAAAAUGAAACUGGAUGUGACCGAAUUUAUUUGCUACAAAAAUAUUUAUGGUGUUCUCCAAUUGUACCUUG
Molecule: long non-coding RNA, 330 nt
Organism: Eurytemora carolleeae
Lineage: Eukaryota; Metazoa; Arthropoda; Copepoda; Calanoida; Temoridae
Exons: 3
Source: RefSeq, a predicted model, not a curated record